AUCAACACAAACAAUCAAGUCACAGCAAACAAUUAUGGCUCAAAGCAAUCGAACAAAUAUUCACCACCUCAAGGUAACACAUGGCCAAACACAUUGCUAUCUUCAAACAAUUGAUGACACAAAUGCUAAAGUCCAAAGAAAAAACAAAUAAUAGGAGAUAAGAAAUUCUCAAAUCUGGAAAGACCAUCUAAGGUAAUUUAAAACAAGGAUUAAAAUAAAUUCCUCCGACCUAUAAUGGCAAAAUCCUGAGU
Molecule: unclassified non-coding RNA, 251 nt
Filed under: Hevea brasiliensis (rubber tree)
Lineage: Eukaryota; Viridiplantae; Streptophyta; Magnoliopsida; Malpighiales; Euphorbiaceae
Source: RNAcentral